UCAUUAUUGAAACUACGUUUCAAUCCAACACUUGAUUGUAGGGUCAUUAAUGUCUUUGCAAACUCAAGAUCCAAAUUAAUUCUGUACAAACCAUCACAUAGAAUUCCAGAACCAACUUUUAUUGAAUCAUAAAAUAUACUGAGUUUGCCACUACCAAAAGAAAGACAAUAUCCUAACUCAUCAAUUCUAGAAAGAGAAACUAAAUUUCUAGAAAUUGUAGGGACAUAACAU
This 231-nucleotide long non-coding RNA is filed under the name Musa acuminata (dwarf banana). RNAcentral's name for it is "long non-coding RNA (MACU_LNC000575)". The record is from RNAcentral. Lineage: Eukaryota; Viridiplantae; Streptophyta; Magnoliopsida; Zingiberales; Musaceae.